This 436-nucleotide long non-coding RNA is filed under the name Elaeis guineensis (African oil palm). Its description in RNAcentral is "long non-coding RNA (EGUI_LNC008722)". The record is from RNAcentral. Lineage: Eukaryota; Viridiplantae; Streptophyta; Magnoliopsida; Arecales; Arecaceae.
UCCUUCCUUGUAUUCCUCAUGUUUGAAAGAAUGAGAAAUGAUGGGCAUGGAUGAAUGAACAGUCCCUUCUUUCAUCCAUCCUUUCUAAAAUUUUUUAAACCAAAUAGUAGAUAAAAAUCAUCUCAUCUUUCCAAUCCUAUCCAUCUUUCCUCUCAUAAUCCUAACCAAACAUAGGGUAACAUCCACGCACUCAAAAUAGAAGAACCCAAACAUGAGGCAAGACAAACACGCCUCACAAAUGGGUCAUAGGAGUCCGCAUUAUCCUGCAGCAAAGAUGCUAACCACUGGCAUUCUGGAGAACCCAAGGCUGGGACAGGACAAACAUGCCUCACAAAUGGGCCAUUGGAGUCGGCGUUAUCUUUUAGCAAAGAUGCUAACCACCGACUUGGGGGCUGACGCCUGUCCAGUGUUGGAAGGUCAAGAAAAUUGACGACCU